Molecule: ribosomal RNA, 530 nt
Filed under: Aphrodoctopus sp. JMS-2004
Lineage: Eukaryota; Metazoa; Mollusca; Cephalopoda; Octopoda; Eledonidae
Description: partial 16S ribosomal RNA
Rfam family: Bacterial large subunit ribosomal RNA (bases 1-147)
Source: RNAcentral
GUCUCUUUGAUUAAUAAAUAUAAAGAGUUGGGCCUGCUCGGUGAUAAUUUUAACAGCUGCGGUAUUAUAACUGUACUAAGGUAGCAUAAUAAUUUGCCUUAUAAAUUAAGGCUAGAAUGAAUGGUUUGACGAAAAUUAAACUGUCUCUAUUUUAUUUAUUAAAAAUUAAUAUUUAUAGUGAUAAAGCUUAAAUUAUUUAAAGGGACGAGAAGACCCUAUUGAGCUUAAUAUUAAAAUGUAUAUGUAUAAUAAUUAAUUUUAUAUUUUAUUAUGUUUACUAAUUUUAAAUUUUGGUUGGGGUGAUCAAGGAAUAAAAUAAUUUUAUAUAUUAACUUCCUUAAAUGUAAAUAAUUAUUUAUUGUUUUAUAUAUAAUAUAAUAAACCAAAUGUUUUGCUUAGAAGUAAGUUACCAUAGGGAUAACAGCGUAAUUUUUUUAGAGAGUUCAUAUUAAAAAAAAAGAUUGCGACCUCGAUGUUGGAUUAAAUUACCUUUAGGUGUAGAGGCUUAAGUAGGUGAAUCUGUUCGAUUU